This 406-nucleotide ribosomal RNA is filed under the name uncultured bacterium. RNAcentral's name for it is "partial 16S ribosomal RNA". It matches the Rfam family "Bacterial small subunit ribosomal RNA", at positions 30 to 526 of the family's 1533-position model. The record is from RNAcentral.
AUUGAACGCUGGCGGCAGGCCUAACACAUGCAAGUCGAACGAGUGGCGGACGGGUGAGUAAUGUCUGGGAAACUGCCUGAUGGAGGGGGAUAACUACUGGAAACGGUAGCUAAUACCGCAUACCAUCAGAUGUGCCCAGAUGGGAUUAGCUAGUUGGUGGGGUAACGGCUCACCAAGGCGCCGAUCCCUAGCUGGUCUGAGAGGAUGCCCAGCCACACUGGAACUGUGACACGGCCCAGACUCCGACGGGAGGCAGCAGUGGGGAAUUUUGGACAAUGGGGGCAACCCUGAUCCAGCCAUGCCGCGUGUAUUAAGAAGGCCUUCGGGUUGUAAAGUACUUUUGUCAGGGAAGCGGUACCUGAAGAAUAAGCACCGGCUAACUACGUGCCAGCAGCCGCGGUAAUAC